Long non-coding RNA from Mus musculus (house mouse), 562 nucleotides. RefSeq annotates it as predicted gene, 33674. The transcript is spliced from 4 exons. The record is from RefSeq and is a predicted model, not a curated record. Lineage: Eukaryota; Metazoa; Chordata; Mammalia; Rodentia; Muridae.
GAAAGUACAAAGGAAAGGAAAGUGAUCUUGAAUUGUCAAAAUGGAAAUAUAUAAUAGUGCUGAGUAGUGCUCAGAUUCACCGGGAAUAAGAGGGAGAACUGAUAUCUGCUAUUGGUUGGAUGAAGAUUUUUUUGUUUGGAAUUACAAUGCUGCCCACAUGUAAUAUUGGCAAAGGAAUAUGCACAGGUCAGUUAGCUGAGCCAAAGGAACCCAGAUUCACUGAGGACACAUUCCUUUGCCAUUAUUGCCUAUAGACGAGUGAUAGAGAUGUACCAGUUACAGCAUACCCUUCUGGGAACAAAGUAUUCUUCAACAAAGUACCCGGUAUUCUAUAGACUCGAGGUUGUUUGUACCAUGAAGUCAACCUGAAAGAGCACUCAGCUGUUAGCAACUAAGCAACAGAAGACAAGCAGACACAAAACCUUUCUUCAAACUUGGGAUACAAGUCUUGAGUACCAUCCAUUAUAAUGCAAUUCAAGGAAAGACCCAUUCAACUAGCAACUAUAGUACAUACAUUGCACCAGCUACUGCAAGGACACAGAAAGAAUGAAAGUUGCCACCA